RNAcentral lists this unclassified non-coding RNA (319 nucleotides) under plant metagenome. RNAcentral's name for it is "partial contains 5.8S ribosomal RNA, internal transcribed spacer 2, and large subunit ribosomal RNA". The stretch from base 1 to 105 matches the Rfam family "5.8S ribosomal RNA", at positions 50 to 154 of the family's 154-position model. The record is from RNAcentral.
GAAAUGCGAUAAUUAAUGUGAAUUGCAGAAUUCAGUGAAUCAUCGAGUCUUUGAACGCACAUUGCACCCCCUGGUAUUCCGGGGGGUAUGCCUGUCCGAGCGUCAUUGCUGCCCUCAAGCCCGGCUUGUGUGUUGGGUCCUCGUCCCCCCCGGGGGACGGGCCCGAAAGGCAGCGGCGGCACCGCGUCCGGUCCUCGAGCGUAUGGGGCUUUGUCACACCGCUCUCGUAGGCCCGGCCGGCGCUGGCCGACGCUGAAAAGCAACCAUUAUUUCUCCAGGUUGACCUCGGAUCAGGUAGGGAUACCCGCUGAACUUAAGC